UUAAAUGUGCCCGUACCCGCCCCGUUGCAUCCCUAUACAGGCCUGGCCCGCGGGCUUCAAGCCCGAUUGACACCCCUAGUGGCAUAGAAUGAUUUACAAGGAUUUUUAAAAAGGGUUAGCAUGGUUUACAAUCUUUUUUUAAGUAUAAGUAAGUGGUAUUGGAAUGAUUUACAGGAGAUUUUAAAAGCUUAUAAAAGGGUAAAACAUGAUUUACAAUCGUUUUUAAAGCAUAAGUAAGUGGCAUAGAAUGAUUUACAAGGGAUUUUAAAAGUGUUUGUAUGGUUUACAAUCGUUUUAAAGCAUAAGUAUGUGACAUUGAAUGAUUUACAAGGGAUUUUAAAAGGGGUUAACCUAAUUUACAAUCGUUUUUAAAGCAUAAGUAAGUGUCAAAGAAUGAUUUACAAGGGAUUUUAAAAAAGUUUUGCAUGGUUUACAAUCGUUUUAAAAAAAUAAGUAAGUGGUAUAGAAUGAUUUACAAGGAUUUUAAAAACGUAUAAAAGGGUAAAACAUGAUUUACAAGAGUUUUUAAAGAGUUUUAAAAGGAUUUACAAGGAUUUUAAACCUUUGUAAAUCCUUUUAAAACUCUUAUAAAA
Molecule: small RNA, 593 nt
Filed under: Arabidopsis thaliana (thale cress)
Lineage: Eukaryota; Viridiplantae; Streptophyta; Magnoliopsida; Brassicales; Brassicaceae
Description: ATSL100390
Source: RNAcentral